RNAcentral lists this ribosomal RNA (497 nucleotides) under uncultured bacterium. RNAcentral's name for it is "partial 16S ribosomal RNA". It matches the Rfam family "Bacterial small subunit ribosomal RNA", at positions 28 to 507 of the family's 1533-position model. The record is from RNAcentral.
GAUGAACGCCGGCGGCGUGCCUAAUACAUGCAAGUCGAGCGAACGGACGAGAAGCUUGCUUCUCUGAUGUUAACGGCGGACGGGUGAGUAACACGUGGAUAACCUACCUAUAAGACUGGGAUAACUUCGGGAAACCGGAGCUAAUACCGGAUAAUAUUUUGAACCGCAUGGUUCAAAAGUAAAAGACGGUCUUGCUGCCACUUAUAGAUGGAUCCGCGCUGCAUUAGCUAGUUGGUAAGGUAACGGCUUACCAAGGCAACGAUGCAUAGCCGACCUGAGAGGGUGAUCGGCCACACUGGAACUGAGACACGGUCCAGACUCCUACGGGAGGCAGCAGUAGGGAAUCUUCCGCAAUGGGCGAAAGCCUGACGGAGCAACGCCGCGUGAGUGAUGAAGGUCUUCGGAUCGUAAAACUCUGUUAUUAGGGAAGAACAUAUGUGUAAGUAACUGUGCACAUCUUGACGGUACCUAAUCAGAAAGCCACGGCUAACUACGUG